UGUGACACAAACACGGUGGUAGCGCGGCACGUGGCCUGCAACGCCAAAACUCAUCCUCUCUGGCCCUUUACGGAAGCUUGCCAGCCCCUGCUCUCCAUUCACGGUUCCCUCCGAGAUGGGCGCCGCACCAUCCUACACCAGCGGUGUCAGACCACCAACCCCCAGAUUCAGACUCCGAGACGAAGUGGUAAACCUGAAAUGUAUUUUGUGAACUUAAAGGGUUAAAUCAGCACUGUCACCUUGUCAUAAAGGCCAUCUCCGUCAGUCACCCCAGGACAGCCCUGUCCACCAUUCUUGGCCAGCUUCCUUCAAGGACUUUAUCACAUCUGAUACCUUCUCUUUGUAAAUAUUUGUCCCCCUCCUCACAUUGUGAGAGCCCUGAGAACAGGAAUCUUCACAGUCUUGUUUGUCCCUAUAUCCCCAGGGCCUAGAACACUGCCUGGCCCAUAGGGGGUGCUCAAGCAACACUGAAUGAAUGAAUGAAUGAAUGAAUGAAAAGCAAUUCAGCAGCAAAAUUUUCCUAUUGGGUGAAGAGAGAUAACUACACAGUGACCACAAGACCCAGACUCUACAGCUUCACUACUGGUCAUGAAAAUAUGGAGUUGAAGACAAAGAGAGUCAGGAGGAAGGCAUCCAGAGCCAUCGGGUGCAGAGAACGAUGCAGGAACAAAUGUGCUGUAGGAACUGUAACGCACCAGUGAGUCACUGAGCAGCCGUGCCUUUUGUCCGCAUGUCCUGGGCGAACGAGUGGAACCCAAAAUGGACAUGACCCAAGGGGGCCGAUUUAAGACCUCAUGAAUACUGAGUGCCUCAUGAAACUCCUCAUGUGACUGAUAAUUGUGUGCUGCUUCUCCACCCUUUUGUGCAUUCCUAUGAAAGUUCAUCAGACGUGCUCUCUGCUUCCCUUCUCACAAGCUGUCUGGCUCUGUACUGAGUUUCUCUUCUUUUCUUUCUUUCUUUCUCUUUCUUUUUUCUUUUGGCUUAAACAACAGAAAUUUUUAUUCUUAGAGUUCUGGAUACUAGAAGUCCAAGAUCAAGGGCUGGCAAGGUUGGACAUUUGUUUGUUUCA
This 1069-nucleotide long non-coding RNA is filed under the name Suricata suricatta (meerkat). Its description in RNAcentral is "lncRNA (ENSSSUG00005009127.1)". The record is from RNAcentral. Lineage: Eukaryota; Metazoa; Chordata; Mammalia; Carnivora; Herpestidae.